RNAcentral lists this ribosomal RNA (484 nucleotides) under uncultured bacterium. RNAcentral's name for it is "partial 16S ribosomal RNA". It matches the Rfam family "Bacterial small subunit ribosomal RNA", at positions 29 to 507 of the family's 1533-position model. The record is from RNAcentral.
AUUGAACGCUGGCGGCAUGCUUUACACAUGCAAGUCGAACGGCAGCGCGGGCUUCGGCCUGGCGGCGAGUGGCGAACGGGUGAGUAAUACAUCGGAACGUGCCCAGUAGUGGGGGAUAGCUCGGCGAAAGCCGGAUUAAUACCGCAUACGACCUGAGGGUGAAAGCGGGGGAUCUUCGGACCUCGCGCUAUUGGAGCGGCCGAUGGCAGAUUAGCUAGUUGGUGGGGUAAAGGCCUACCAAGGCGACGAUCUGUAGCUGGUCUGAGAGGACGACCAGCCACACUGGGACUGAGACACGGCCCAGACUCCUACGGGAGGCAGCAGUGGGGAAUUUUGGACAAUGGGCGAAAGCCUGAUCCAGCAAUGCCGCGUGUGUGAUGAAGGCCUUCGGGUUGAAAAGCACUUUUGGCGGGAACGAAAAGGACUAUGCCAAUACCACGGUUCGAUGACGGUACCCGCAGAAUAAGCACCGGCUAACUACGUG